UACUGCAGCCUUUGUUGUGGUCCUACACUUUUGUCGCUGUUUGGUCUCAAGCAGUUUUGCCUGUAUUGGUACUUAGGGGCUCUUUUUGCCUUUAUUUGCUCUUCUGGUCCUCACAGGCAUUUGAGGUCUUGACCUCUGCUAAAGCUUUCCAGUAGGACAGAAGCAGGGAACCCAAGUCCAGCCAAUUCCCAGAUUUUUCCCAUUAAUUGCCUUUGGUGGAGAUAAGGGUAAUGAGGAACCUAACUUGGCUGUUUCCCCUCAGAUCCAGCCCCAGUCACCCUGGGCUUUUUUCUGUUUCCAUGGAGAGCUGGGGGUUAAUGACCAAGGGGAGGGUGCUGAUUUAAUACAGCUUGGAAUUAACUUCCAUGUUUGUUUGGUUUUUUUUCCCCCUUCCCUCUCCCUUCUUUACUAUGUACAAAUUGGAAUCAUUUUCCUCUUGUGCUAACUUAUAGGCAAUUAAAAAAAGAAAGAAAACAGAACACAAGAUUUUACUAACAUUCAAAAGACACAUCAUUAGAUUGAAGAAAGAUUUUACUGCACACUGGAGUUGGAGCUUUCAUCUUCAAAAUUCAUGUCUUGGAUUUCUCAGAAUAACUUUAAAUAUUCAGUAUGUGAGUUCUCUUAAUGCAGACUUUUUUUCUGUGCUCAUCUUCAAAGCUCAUAACACACACAUUCUCUUAUUUUCUUUUUGCUGGGUAAUUCUCUUGCAGGUAUAUUCUUUCAAAAGUCAUUUCUUAAGUCAUUUGUUUCAUUUCUGCCCCACUCAUUAAAAAAAAAAAAAAGAUGGAAAGACCAUUUUGGUGAAAUUAAAAGCUUUUUGCCUUUCCCUGCAAUGAUUUUCUUCUGACCUUUGAGUAAUAUGGCAAAAAGAAACCAAUGCAAUACAGCGUGCUUAUCAUCUGAUCCACCCAUGCUGGCUGUGUGACUGUCGCCUGGCUUGUGAGUUACUUACACUCUAGCACUCACAGAAUAACUUAAUCAAGCUCUGAAGAGAUCACCUGUUAGUCCUUGAAGGAUACCUGUCUCAUAGGAAUCUGAAGCCCUGGCUGAGGGUCAACAUCCUUUUCAGCCUUGCAGUCAGGAGUAGGAGCAAAGCAAUGAUUACUUCCUGGCCUGAAAGGAAGAGAAGGGAGAAAAGGGCGUGAGUGGGAAAAGAUGGAAGAGUCGAUGCGAGGGCAAGGAGGGAAGAAAGAGGGAGGGAAGGGAGAAGAGAAAGGGGGGGCACUGCAGG
RNAcentral lists this long non-coding RNA (1231 nucleotides) under Capra hircus (goat). Its description in RNAcentral is "lncRNA (ENSCHIG00010025025.1)". Lineage: Eukaryota; Metazoa; Chordata; Mammalia; Artiodactyla; Bovidae. The record is from RNAcentral.